GAUGAACGCUGGCGGCGUGCCUAAUACAUGCAAGUCGAGCGAACGGACGAGAAGCUUGCUUCUCUGAUGUUAGCGGCGGACGGGUGAGUAACACGUGGAUAACCUACAUAUAAGACUGGGAUAACUUCGGGAAACCGGAGCUAAUACCGGAUAAUAUUUUGAACCGCAUGGUUCAAAAGUGAAAGACGGUCUUGCUGUCACUUAUAGAUGGAUCCGCGCUGCAUUAGCUAGUUGGUAAGGUAACGGCUUACCAAGGCAACGAUGCAUAGCCGACCUGAGAGGGUGAUCGGCCACACUGGAACUGAGACACGGUCCAGACUCCUACGGGAGGCAGCAGUAGGGAAUCUUCCGCAAUGGGCGAAAGCCUGACGGAGCAACGCCGCGUGAGUGAUGAAGGUCUUCGGAUCGUAAAACUCUGUUAUUAGGGAAGAACAUAUGUGUAAGUAACUGUGCACAUCUUGACGGUACCUAAUCAGAAAGCCACGGCUAAUUACGUG
RNAcentral lists this ribosomal RNA (497 nucleotides) under uncultured bacterium. RNAcentral's name for it is "partial 16S ribosomal RNA". It matches the Rfam family "Bacterial small subunit ribosomal RNA", at positions 28 to 507 of the family's 1533-position model. The record is from RNAcentral.